This 250-nucleotide ribosomal RNA is filed under the name uncultured bacterium. RNAcentral describes it as "partial 16S ribosomal RNA". It matches the Rfam family "Bacterial small subunit ribosomal RNA", at positions 524 to 773 of the family's 1533-position model. The record is from RNAcentral.
UACAGAGGGUGCGAACGUUGCUCGGAUUUACUGGGCGUAAAGCGCGUGUAGGCGGAUUCGCAAGUCGGAUGUGAAAUCCCUGGGCUCAACCCAGGAACUGCAUUCGAAACUGCGUGUCUAGAGUAGUGGAGAGGAAAGUAGAAUUCCCGGUGUAGAGGUGAAAUUCGUAGAUAUCGGGAGGAAUACCAGUGGCGAAGGCGGCUUUCUGGACACUAACUGACGCUGAGACGCGAAAGCGUGGGGAGCAAAC